CCUUAAAGCGUCAUUGGCACAAGUGAAAGAGAGCCAUGUGGAACAUUUUUGGGGAACAUAUUGUAGAUCCGGACUGUCUUCGGCUGCAAAUAAGCAACCAUUUGCGGGCACAUCUUGUUUAUUUCUGAAAUAGAAGUCUUCCAGUGGGAUUUUCUUCUUGCUCAAGCACCACAGGUUAGAUAAAUGCUAGAUGCAAAUGAAGAUUUCAGAAGAAAAGCCAUUUUAGAGACGUGGUUGUCUUGGAAGGUUCUGAAUGUCAAUUUAGUUAGAAAAUUACAUAGCAAUGAAAUAA
Long non-coding RNA from Pipra filicauda (Wire-tailed manakin), 292 nucleotides. RefSeq lists it as uncharacterized. The record is from RefSeq and is a predicted model, not a curated record. Lineage: Eukaryota; Metazoa; Chordata; Aves; Passeriformes; Pipridae. The transcript is spliced from 3 exons.